AUUGAACGCUGGCGGCAUGCUUUACACAUGCAAGUCGAACGGUAACAGGCCUUCGGGUGCUGACGAGUGGCGAACGGGUGAGUAAUGCAUCGGAACAUACCCAGUCGUGGGGGAUAACGUAGCGAAAGUUACGCUAAUACCGCAUACGUCCUGAGGGAGAAAGCGGGGGAUCGCAAGACCUCGCGCGAUUGGAGUGGCCGAUGUCAGAUUAGCUAGUUGGUGGGGUAAAGGCCCACCAAGGCGACGAUCUGUAGCGGGUCUGAGAGGAUGAUCCGCCACACUGGGACUGAGACACGGCCCAGACUCCUACGGGAGGCAGCAGUGGGGAAUUUUGGACAAUGGGGGAAACCCUGAUCCAGCCAUGCCGCGUGCGGGAAGAAGGCCUGGUUGUAACGCUUCUAGCGGAACGAAUACGCACGGACCAA
Molecule: ribosomal RNA, 425 nt
Filed under: uncultured bacterium
Lineage: Bacteria
Description: bacterial SSU rRNA
Rfam family: Bacterial small subunit ribosomal RNA
Source: RNAcentral